UAAGGAAUAUUGGUCAAUGGACGCAAGUCUGAACCAGCCAUGCCGCGUGAAGGAUGAAGGUCCUCUGGAUUGUAAACUUCUUUUAUCUGGGACGAAAACGGGAUUUUUAUCUCAAUUGACGGUACCAGAGGAAUAAGCACCGGCUAACUCCGUGCCAGCAGCCGCGGUAAUACGGAGGGUGCGAGCGUUAUCCGGAUUUACUGGGUUUAAAGGGUGCGUAGGUGGGCUUAUAAGUCAGUGGUGAAAUCUCCGAGCUUAACUUGGAAACUGCCGUUGAUACUAUAGGUCUUGAAUUAUCUGGAGGUAAGCGGAAUAUGUCAUGUAGCGGUGAAAUGCUUAGAUAUGACAUAGAACACCAAUUGCGAAGGCAGCUUACUACAUAUAAAUUGACGCUGAGG
This 398-nucleotide ribosomal RNA is filed under the name uncultured bacterium. RNAcentral's name for it is "bacterial SSU rRNA". It matches the Rfam family "Bacterial small subunit ribosomal RNA", at positions 355 to 751 of the family's 1533-position model. The record is from RNAcentral.